This 28-nucleotide small RNA is filed under the name Bombyx mori (domestic silkworm). Its description in RNAcentral is "ovarian small RNA-23514". Lineage: Eukaryota; Metazoa; Arthropoda; Insecta; Lepidoptera; Bombycidae. The record is from RNAcentral.
UAUCAGAUCUUGUGCCUUGACACCCUGU